GAAGGUACAGCUCAAGUGGUAGAGUGCAUGCUUAGCAUGCGUGAGGUCCUGGGUUCAAUCCCCAGCACUUCCU
Camelus ferus (Wild Bactrian camel) is the source of this 73-nucleotide transfer RNA. It matches the Rfam family "tRNA". Rfam says of the family: Transfer RNA (tRNA) molecules are approximately 80 nucleotides in length. The record is from Rfam. Lineage: Eukaryota; Metazoa; Chordata; Mammalia; Artiodactyla; Camelidae.